RNAcentral lists this ribosomal RNA (402 nucleotides) under uncultured bacterium. Its description in RNAcentral is "partial 16S ribosomal RNA". It matches the Rfam family "Bacterial small subunit ribosomal RNA", at positions 70 to 507 of the family's 1533-position model. The record is from RNAcentral.
AAAAAAAAAGAUGCUUUCGGGCCUAGUGGCGCACGGGUGCGUAACGCGUGGGAAUCUGCCCUUGGGUUCGGAAUAACCGUGAGAAAUUGCUGCUAAUACCGGAUGAUGUCUUCGGACCAAAGAUUUAUCGCCCCGGGAUGAGCCCGCGUAGGAUUAGCUAGUUGGUGGGGUAAUGGCCUACCAAGGCGACGAUCCUUAGCUGGUCUGAGAGGAUGAUCAGCCACACUGUGACUGAGACACGGCCCAGACUCCUACGGGAGGCAGCAGUGGGGAAUAUUGGACAAUUGGCGCAAGCCUGAUCCAGCAAGGCCGCGUGAGGGAUGAAGGGCGUAGGGUUGUAAAGCUCUUUUACCCGGGAUGAUAAUGACAGUACCGGGAGAAUAAUCUCCGGCUAACUCCUUG